CAGCCGCCACGGGAAUACGAGGGGGGCAAGCGUUGUUCGGAAUUAUUGGGCGUAAAGGGCGCGUAGGCGGUUUGGCAAGUUUCGUGUGAAAACUUCGGGCUCAACUCGAAGCCUGCACGGAAAACUGCCGGGCUUGAGUAUGGGAGAGGUGAGUGGAAUUUCCGGUGUAGCGGUGAAAUGCGUAGAUAUCGGAAGGAACACCUGUGGCGAAAGCGGCUCACUGGACCAUAACUGACGCUGAGGCGCGAAAGCUAGGGGAGCAAACAGGAUUAGAUACCCGCGUAGUCCCUGUCUCUUAUAC
RNAcentral lists this ribosomal RNA (301 nucleotides) under uncultured bacterium. RNAcentral describes it as "partial 16S ribosomal RNA". It matches the Rfam family "Bacterial small subunit ribosomal RNA", at positions 509 to 807 of the family's 1533-position model. The record is from RNAcentral.